Molecule: small nucleolar RNA, 100 nt
Filed under: Meriones unguiculatus (Mongolian gerbil)
Lineage: Eukaryota; Metazoa; Chordata; Mammalia; Rodentia; Muridae
Description: Small nucleolar RNA SNORA17 (ENSMUGG00000018470.1)
Rfam family: Small nucleolar RNA SNORA17
About the family: snoRNA ACA 17 belongs to the H/ACA family of snoRNAs and is predicted to guide pseudouridylation of the 28S rRNA at positions U4659 and U4598.
Source: RNAcentral
ACAGGCUUUGCAGGUGAGGUGCUGUGUCAGAGAGGAGAGGAGCUAUGUCCACAUUCAGUGUUCUAAUCUACGACGUCUGAAUGAUUCGUAGCCUAACGUU